This is a long non-coding RNA of Pan paniscus (pygmy chimpanzee), 629 nucleotides long. The record is from Ensembl. Lineage: Eukaryota; Metazoa; Chordata; Mammalia; Primates; Hominidae.
AUUACAUUAAUGCAUAAUUUUGUUUUUUAUACUCAGAGCAUCAUUUUAGUUUGACACAGUCUUCAAUUAAGAUGGAACUAUUGGCCUUUUACAAUUCUCCAGUGACAACUUCUACUUUUUGAAAAUGAUGAGAAUAUGGUGCAGUUGUAUACAUUUUGAACAGGACAAAGGAGAGAAAGAACAUCUGCCCAGCUGGGUCAUAUGUGCGUUGACAGCGAGCGGCAGAACAAGGAGUACCAGGGGCUUAUGGACUUCACCUCACAGCUGGAGUAGGAGAUCUCUCUGUAUCGCAGCCAGCUAGAAGGCCAGGAAUAUUGCUACAACAACCUGCCCAACUCCAAGGUCCUCUGAGUGGCAGGCUCCUGGGUUUCUGCUCUCCUUCAGGGGGAGUCCCUAGGCUGGGGAAUAGGAAUCGAAGGACCCUUACCUCUGGCUCUUCACUGACCUGCCAAUAAAAUAAUAUGGCCCAAGGAAAAAAAUUAAAAUAAUAAAAAUAAUCAGAUAAUAAAAUGAAAUAAAAUACAAUAAACAUUUUAUUUUAAUAUCUACUUUUUUUAUUUUUCGACCCUGCUUCUUAUCUAGGGUCCAAUUUCAUUAAUAUCUUUGCAUGCUGAGCAUGUGUUCUGGAC